ACAGUACAGGGUUGUGACUGGUGUUUUGGGGUUCUCUCUGCGCAUAAGCCCUUUCCUUUUAAUACAAACAGCAAGAUCAUCCUGUUCAGCAGUUGACAGAUGACUGUGUGCACCAAAAGGCAACAACGAUGAGGCAACUGAUGCAUUUGUAACUCAAUGUCUCACUGAAUUCCAGCUUUCUUUUCUCAAGGUGGUGAAACAGGAAGCAACAUCCCAUCAGGAAGAACCUGAGGGUGCCAUCCAGUAGCUUCGCCUCACGUCACUGACUGCCCUCAGUCAGAAAUCUUGACUCGCAACUUUGGAGGGUGGGUCUCUGAAGGAAUUUCAGGUCUUACACAGAGAUGAGUUGUGCUGCUCUCUGAGGAGAACGAAGCUGGUUGGAACGUUGGAAGCUGCUCUCUGACUACACUUCACAAGCAAGGGGCACCUUUUGUGGACUGACAUUUCAGAAAGGGAUGUUGUGAAACAAAAGCUGACAUUUAUAUAUAUAUACAUAUAUACAGUAUUUGAGUUCCUCAGUAGAAAGCUAUCAUAUAUACUCAGAAUGUUUUGGACGUUUAAAGAAUGGUUCUGGUUGGAAAGAUUCUGGCUUCCUCCAACAAUAAAGUGGUCAGAUCUUGAGGAUCACGAUGGACUCGUCUUUGUAAAACCUUCUCAUUUAUACGUGACAAUUCCAUAUGCUUUUCUCUUGCUGAUUAUCAGACGUGUAUUUGAAAAAUUUCCUACUUUUUGGUGGACAGCUCCAUUUUUCACAGUUUGGCCAGGACUGUGAGCCAGAAACAUCUUUAGGUUGCCAAAGAAGCACAGCUGUGGAGGACCAGCUUGUUACGUCCCUGUCUUGGCCUCUCCAACAACAAUCAGGAAGGAAUCCAACCCUCUCUUAAUUCCUAGGACCAUUGUUGCUUCUUCUCAAGGGAUUAAGUAUAGUCUAUAUUCUCUAUUCUAUCUCCUUAUAACUUCAGCUCCCAAUAACU
This 974-nucleotide long non-coding RNA is filed under the name Homo sapiens (human). Its description in RNAcentral is "non-protein coding lnc-LINS1-5:1". The record is from RNAcentral. Lineage: Eukaryota; Metazoa; Chordata; Mammalia; Primates; Hominidae.